This is a long non-coding RNA of Drosophila guanche, 4066 nucleotides long. RefSeq lists it as uncharacterized. NCBI's taxonomy places the organism in Eukaryota, Metazoa, Arthropoda, Insecta, Diptera, Drosophilidae. The transcript is spliced from 3 exons. The record is from RefSeq and is a predicted model, not a curated record.
CUUGAUCGCAAUGAGAACAGGAAAUAAUAGAGCGAAUAGUGACUUUUUACAAGAUAGGUAGAAACUCUUCUGAAUUGUAUAUUAUAUCUCAGUUGUGAACCACUUUUACUCUAGAUAUCCCUUCUUUUAUUCCGACUAUACCUCCAUCUCUCCAAAACCCUAUUGAAUACCGGAAUUAAUUUACUGAAUAACGCAUAGGGACUCUUAUGAUACAUGUAAAAUACUACGAUAAUGACCCACUUCCCUCAUGACUUACGACUUGAAUAUAUGGAAUUUUCAACUGAAAUAGGUAGGGGUUUUAGCUCAACAAAAUAGGUAGGUUGCGAACAAAUGUUUUAAGAUGGUCUUGAUCUCUUAAUAUCAAUGAGAAUGGGAAAUAAAAGUGCGAAUAGCGACUUCUCAGCAUGUUAGGUCGGGACUCUUCUGAUAUUUAUAUGACUUAAUAGUUAUGAACCGCUUUCCCUCGAGACCGUCUCCCUUAUAUAUCAACUGUGCCUCCUUCUCCCCUAGAGUGAUAUGAAACCCGGAAUUAGGUUACUGAUGGACGGGUAGGGACUUUUAUGUUUUCUUAUAUGUAAUAUUGACCCACUUCCCCUCGUGACAUAAGACAAGGAGACAAUGGAUCAUCAGCGAUGUCUCGCCCAUUGAACACCAAUAAUAGUGAUAGGUACAAGUGUUUGGAUAUGGCUCAACAUGUUCCUUAUAAUAUGCAGACGAUACCAUACACUAUACCUUAAUUUUCUUAUAAUCUGUCAUUUUUCCUUGCUGUGAAUGAAAACUUCUCUAAAAUCUACCACAAAUGAAUGACGAAAUUAUUUCAAACAUAGUAGGCUGGGCUCAAGGUGACAUUCAUGUGAGUUGUGUUUAAGUGAAAACUUUCAAGUAUCAAUAAUAUAAAUACAUAUUAAAAAUUCUCUGCAAAGUUCCCAUUUUAAAUUAACAAAUUAAGAGUGUCAACCUUCUCAAGCAACGACUAAGAACGACUUUAUAACAUGGACCACAAAUCAAAAAUGCAUUCUCCAAGGAAUAUGGAUAGGAAAUAUACAAAAAGAUUAUAAAUAUAAAAUAUGUACAUGAGCAAAACUAUUGCCUCAUAUCGGAAAUAGAAAACCAAUUCAGUUCCAGUUUCAAAUGGAUAAAAUGAUUAAAAGAAAUUUUAUUAUACAGGGCACAUAAUGUGAAGAUGUCUUUUUUCAUGCACAAUGAAAUAACAAACAUCAACAAAUAACAAAAUCCCAUUCAGAUUUACAGAUUUAAAUUUUAUGUAUUUGCGCAGACCUGAAGAGUGGAACCCCACUAUCGGGAUAAAAACGGACUCACUGCUAUUUAUUUAUCCCUAUUAGUUCAAUAUCUACGGUCAAAAAUCCAAGAAUCAAAUACUCGCAUCUAACGUAUAUGUUUGCAAUUAUAAUCGUACCUAAGAGCAAGUAAAACAUUACAAUACGUAACUUUAACACCACUAAUUGCACAACGCAUACUGUACACUCUUUAUGAAUGGCAUAAAUCUUCUGCUAACAAAAGGGAAAACUGAACAUCUCGGAUAGUGACGAAAAGUGGCAGUAAAAACGGCAAUAAUAAACGCUAGUUUUUUUUAACACAAGCAUCUUAGUUUUAUAGUAUUUCAACCUGAACACGCUUAAAUAAUACUGAUCUAUUUAGAACCACUACUACUUUUUUUUUAAACGAAUCUUUUUUUUUUUGUCAUUCUAAUACCGAAAAGUUAGCUCGUGUCUUCUCCUCUCUUUAUGUAAUAGGUAUAAUUUAUGGGACAUAAUUUGAUAAAUAUUUGAUAAUCUACUACCAACAAAUUCUUAUCUGCUAGUUACAAAUGAUAUUUAAUACCUACAAUAUGUAUUGGUUGACCAAAUUAGUUACACACGAAACUUAAACAUAACAUUAUUAAUGGAUUUAUUGACUGUCAGUUACUCACUGUAUGAUUUCUGAAAAUUAUUUGUUUGAAAUGCAUUUAAUUGGUAUGCAAUAGACCUUGGCUGUACUCCGAAUUUGUCAUUUGUCUUUUCCACAAGACUUUUUCAACAAACAAGUCCAAACAGCUAAGAUUAUGAAAUCUUAGAGCUUGCUUCUAAUGACCCAAUAUACAUCCGACAAUAUAUUCUCAAAUGGUAAAUUAAAUCCUGACAAGACAAGUCCAAUUUAAAAAAUGUAUCACCUCCGCUCACCAAACUAUGACUUGAUACAACUGAUAAUAUAAAAUUCUUUGGAAUUACGUACUUCUCUAAGACGUUCAAACGAGUAAAAUUUUACAUGUGACGAGGCAUUUGAAAAAAGCUUUCCGGGUGAUUGCCAUUUCAGUAAAUGAAUAUAAAUUAAUGAAUGUCGUCCAUGACGAUUUUGAAAGCAUAACUACUUGGGCAUCGAUAUUAUUUUAUGAAUAAUUAACAAGACAAUACAAAUUACUCGGGGAUCUGGAAAUAUCUACAUUUAUAAAUGGAAACGUACGUUUGUUUAGAAAUUAGGAAUGUAUCUGAUCAUUAUGUUUUAUUGAGUAUGAAGCUAGCUUACACUAAAAGCGUUAAUCUUCUUCGCCUAUUACUUGGGGUUUCUUGAACGUCGUGUUGUAUCUUUUCUCUAAGCUAUGUACGUGUAUACUUUUCUCAAGCUAUCCUUUUCCCAAACCUACGUGAAUACCUUUAUUCCACUAUUGCUUUACCAUUAUCCUAUUGACAAUCUCUUCUGAUUUCAUUGUCUGUGUAUUAACUCAAAUAUUUUAUGUAUUUUUUGCCACUCCGCUCCGUAUUUGGGAAUUCUUUUUCGUAUUUACUUCUGUUGUUCAAUAUGGAAAAAAGUUAACCAAUCUGCCAAAAACAAUGAAGCACAACUAAUUGCAUUUUAAUCGUAAUUGGAAAUGGAACACACAUUUUUCAAUUCUUCAAUAGAGAUAGCUAUAUACCUGAACAGAUCUGCUCUAAGAAAAGAAAUUCGAAGAAUUUGUAAAUAUGUAUGGAACAUUCGUAAAUACAAACAUAUCCACAUACAUAUUUUACUUUUGAAUAAGCUACUCAAGAUAAUUUAAUCCAUCAUUAUCUAAUUGCUAUGGUAGCUAAAUCAUUUUGUCAACGUAUGAUUACAUUACCGAAACAACAAUAAUCUAAUCAAAUUGCAUGCAUAAUAUUGCAUAUGUGUAUGUACCUAUGUAAUAUUAUUCUGUAAAUUCAUGUAUUACCCUUGAUUUGGAUACUUGGAGAACAACAAAACACUUGCUAAAUGUUAACCCAUGUUCAUGAUGUAGUUCUAUAAUAGAGCACGAAUUAAAUUUUAACAUUUAAACAUGGCAAUACAUAUAAAACAUAUCGAAUUUACAUACAUACAAAAGUGAAAUUUAGCAACACAGCUGCCAAUCUUAAUGUUUUUAUUGAUCAUAAAAGAGCUUCACGAUUCAAACAAAAAGAAAUGCUUUAUUUUAAAGUCAUAGACACACAAGACCACAAAAAUACUUCAUGCUGAGAGCGAAUACUUCUUUAAAUAGUAUUUUUUUUUUAUAUAUUUCUACUUCAUUGCAGUAAAGAAAUAUUUCGAAAUAGUGAAGUCUUCUCUCUGCUUGGUUUGAUAUAUAUUUAUUGGAACACACGGGAAAGCAAGUUUUACUCCCUUUCUACUCUUAUGAUGCUUUUAUUAGGAUUUUGACUCAAACAUCUUUUAUAAAAUCAAUACAUAAUGGAGUAUAAUCGAAACAAUUGUAUAAUCAUAUAAUUAUAUAAUAAAGAUUUCCUGUAUUUGAAUGACUUGUAACAACGUGGAUAAUCAAAUAUACUAGAUACAAUAGAGUUGCCUUUUCUCUAAAGAUUGCAACUGGUAUAUGUAUAAAUACAAUGUACACACAAACGAAUGUUUACUUCAACUUCUGUGGAAAACAUUAUAUGUAUAAAUAACAUGAGCUUAUAAAGACAAACUGCGAUUUUAAAAACCACAAUCUAAUCAACUCUACCCUAAGAGGGAAGUAAAGAAGUAUAUGCAUAAAUCUAAUGAAUAUAUUGAAAUGUCCAUUGAAUUUAAAAGGUCAUCAUAAAAGGUUUUAAUGCGAUUGAAAAGUAUAUACUUCGACGUU